AUGGAGAUCGCGGCGGAGCCCGUGCGGCUCACGGAGGAGCAGCGCCGCCGCAUCGAGGCCAGCCGCCUCGCCGCCCUCGAGAGGCUCAAGCGCUCCGCCGCCGCCGGCACCACCGCCGAGUCGCUCAGGCUCGCCAAGUGCCCAAGAACCGCCCAUCCUCUGCCCCCGCGUCCCUGCCCGCCGCCGCAACCGCUUCCGCCGCCCGCGCCUCCGACGGGGUUCCGGGCGGUGCUGGAGGUGUGCAGCCCCGACGAGUUCCAGGUGACGGUGGGCCGAACGGAGGGCAAGGCUUUCCCCGGGGAGGCCGACUGCCUGCGCGCCGUCGAGGACUGCGUCGCUUCGGCUGUACCAUUCUCCACAACACAAAGUCAAAGCGGGCAUAUUUCUUCUGUCUUUAAACUGGUGCACUAUGAGCUGGUGUUGCAAUGCUUGAGGAAGUUGACUGGCGUUGUUGUGCAAGAUAUACCUUAUAGAACAAGGCGUGCUGUUCAAAAUGCUGGCACAAACUGCGGUUCUGAUAAAGAAGUUGACGAGCUUCUCAUGAAGCUGCCACGUCGAUUACAAGAUGCACUUCUACCCUUCCAACUUGAAGGUGUGAAAUUUGGGCUUCGGAGGCAAGGGCGCUGCCUUAUUGCAGAUGAGAUGGGGCUUGGCAAGACUCUCCAGGCAAUUGCAAUAGCUUGUUGCUUCAAGGACGAGGGCCCUCUAUUAAUAGUGUGUCCAGCUGUUCUGCGUUAUACUUGGGCGGAGGAAUUGGAACGCUGGGAUCCUUCAUUUCUUCCAAAAGAUAUUCAUCUUGUGUUUGGUCGACGAGACAGUCUUGAAUAUUUAGAUUUUUGUCCGAAGGUCGUUGUUAUUUCAUACACGAUGUUAAGCAUCCUUCGGAAAAGUAUGAUUAAUAGGAGAUGGGCACUGAUGAUCAUUGAUGAAUCCCACAAUAUACGCUGCACAAAGAUGAAAGAAGAAAAUACUCAGACAAAAGCUGUACUGGAAAUAGCUUUCAAUAUCAACCGCAUUGUGUUGCUUUCUGGGACACCCUCUUUGUCAAGACCUUUUGACAUCUAUCACCAGAUAAAUAUGUUAUGUCCCCGUUUGCUUGGAGAUGAUAAAUUUGAAUUUGCAAAGACAUAUUGUUCACUGCAUGUUGCUCAAAGCUCCCAGGGUAAAAUUUACCAGGACUUCUCAAAAGGUGCUCGUUUGACAGAGUUAAAUGUUCUGCUCAGCCAGACUCUGAUGAUUAGGCGCUUGAAGGAGCAUUUGUUAAAUGAACUGCCGCCCAAGCGCCGGCAGAUCAUUAGGUUAAAGUUGAAGGCAUUGAAUAGCAGGACAGCCACCUCUAUUAUCCAAGGGGAUUACAAUAGCACAUAUAGUAGCUCUGAUGCUCCUAUAAUUGCCUCUUCUGAGAUAAGCAAUGACUGUGAAGAAGCAAAAGAGGGAAAAGAUGAUAGUUGCAAGAAAUCUCCAAGGCAUUUCUCCCCCCAGGAAAUUGGCAUUGCAAAAAUACCUGGGUUUAGUCAGUGGUUCUCAAAUCAUUUGAUGCAUGAUAAUCUGGACGCCCAGUCUAGUUGCCAGAAAACGCUAAUUUUCGCCCACCACUUGAAGGUUCUAGAUGGAGUGCAGGUGUUCCUCUCUGAGAAGGAGAUCAAGUUUGUUCGCAUUGAUGGCAGCGCACUUCCUAGAGAAAGGAAAGAAGCUGUUGAUUCUUUCCGUUUGAAUCCAGAGGUCAAGGUUGCAAUAAUAGGAAUUACUGCUGGUGGUGUUGGUUUAGACUUUUCAUCUGCUCAGAAUGUUGUUUUCCUGGAGCUCCCAAGAUCGUCUUCAGACUUACUUCAGGCCGAGGAUAGAGCUCAUAGGCGUGGUCAAACAAAUGCGGUCAAUAUAUAUAUAUUCUGCGCAAAGAACACAUCAGAUGAACCACAGUGGCUUCGCUUGAACCAGAGUCUGUUCCGUGUCUCGUCUAUGGUGAAUGGGAAGAAAGAUGCUAUAAGAGAAAUUGAGGUUGAUCAAGUUUACCACCUUGGGGAAAUCAGUAACACUAAGGAGAGACCAGAAAUUGAGUUUCUUCCAAAUUGUGGUGCAGGUCUUUUGGAAAGUGGCACUAUGUCUGUUGACCAUCUUCCUGGCAUCAGCGAUAUGGAGCUUGAGUCAGAUUUCACUAUUAGGACUAUUCCUCUACAGAUUGAGGAUGAAGGCCUUCAUUCAGGAAUGCAAUAUACUCCAGGUCCAGCAGUACAUGAAGAUACAGUUUGCAAUAGUUUUUCUAUUUCACCAGCUAUCUCUGGCUCUUCAAGUACACGAAGUAAAUCAACGAAGGUUCGUAGGAGCUUUUGUGAAAAUCGUGAUACUUUAGGUCUUCCAGGAACUAUUUCAGAUGGCCAUAUUCGAGUGGAGUAUCUGCGUUUCGAGGUUAGCCAUCAUACAGGUCGAAUCCACUUGUACAUUUGUGUUCCAGGACAUGAUUCAAGACCCAGACCACUUUUUCAGAAUUUUCUGCCUGAAGAAGUAGAAUCACCUUUAUGCUCUAGUAGUGACAAGAAAGCAAGUAGGCAGCUCUUGACUAAUCCAGCAUUUUGCAAUAUGUUCAAAGCAUUUGUAAAAGAAUGGUUAGAACUAAGACCAAUUGAUCAGAGGAAACUCCUGGGAAAGCCGUUACAGCUUCCAUUGAGCCUUGAGUUGUGCUAUCUGACAAAUAGCAUCAGCCACAGUACACAAGGAUUGAUUAAAGGGGGGAGUAAGAGGCGUAUAGCUCCAUUGAGUGUUGUCAGUGAUCAUUUGCCUGAAAAUGCUGAAUGGAGAAAGGUGGUUUUACGUCGUGGCACGACUAAAGAGAGAGAAUACACUCAAGGCUGGACUACUGAUGAUGAGCCUCUCUGCAAAUUAUGUCAAAAACUUUGCAGUGGGAAUCUUGCGAAAUCACCCGAAUAUUUUGAAGAUCUAUUCUGUAAGCUUGAUUGCUUCCGGUUGUACAGAUUGAGAACCAACCAGAGUGCCCUGCGGCAGGCACUGUUUCAAAUAGAACAUGGUAUAUGUUCCCAGUGCAAGCUUGACUGCUGCAAGCUCGUCAAACAUAUUAAACCCCUCAGCAACCAAAAGAGAGAAGCACACAUCAGGAGUGUUGCUCCAAAUAUUGCAUGUAGGAAGAAACUGCUAGCAAAGCUUGUCGAAGAGCCAACACAGGGAAAUGCUUGGCACGCAGAUCAUAUAGUACCUGUGUAUAAAGGAGGAGGGGAAUGCACACUCGAGAAUAUGAGGACGCUUUGCGUGGCUUGUCAUGCUGAGGUCACCAAAGAUCAGCAAAAGGAGCGAAAAGAAGCAAGAAAAGAAGAAAGAAGGAAGGCCGAAGAGCUUCUGAGAAAUGCUGUGAAUCAGCUGAAGGAUGAUGCAUGUGAAGCGACAGAAGACGAUGAUUCUUGGUCGGUUACAGUCCCUGGCAGUGCCUACUCAGCAGUACCGCAGGCUCCUCUUACGCCCAGAAAAUAG
RNAcentral lists this ribosomal RNA (3480 nucleotides) under Triticum aestivum (bread wheat). RNAcentral's name for it is "partial small subunit ribosomal RNA". Lineage: Eukaryota; Viridiplantae; Streptophyta; Magnoliopsida; Poales; Poaceae. The record is from RNAcentral.